GCCCGCGGCCCCGCCCCCUGGGCCCCGCCAGGCGCGCCGCGGGCGCACGUGACGGACAAAUCUCCGUGAGCCGCUCGUGCGUGCUGGUUCCGCGCCGGUCCUGACUGUGACCAAUCCCAGGCGUCGACAGCUGCAUGGCGAAACACGGUUGGAUAUUCGCGGCGUGGAGGGGCGGGAGCUGCAAGGGACGCUGCGUUCCCAUUGGCCUUUAAUAGCGAACCUUGGGUGUUGCGGAGCUUGGGCCGUGGUGACCGUGUUUAGCUGUUUCGUUUGGAGGACGCUUUGUGUUCGGAGGCUGUGGCUGUCCGGCUACCGGAAGUCCCCAGGGCUUUUUGAGUCAUGACUUUGUCUUGUAAAGUGUGAUUUGCACCAGAACGGGGGAAGCAGUGGGUCACUUGUGGCGCUGGGAGCCCGCGUGCUGUUUCCAGCCGGCAUGAACCGAGUGUCUGUUGCCUGCCCGGCCUAAAAGGUGCCUAACUUCCCCGGUUGUACCAGUUAGAGUAGCUGCUGCUCCGCGCGCUCACAGGCGUCGUCGCCCUUCCCCGCGAUGGUUCGGUGCAGUGGAAGGAAUCCUGAGCAAGGAACUGGAAGAGUGAAGCCAGAGGUGAACUGCAAUAGAAGUAUCUGCCUACAUUUUUAUCCAGAUGUGUUGAUUUUCCUCAAAUUUGGAAUGACCCAAAGAACAUUAGCACAUGGUGGAAUUCCUUUCUGAUCAACAGGCGCAGCUAUCAUUUCCUCCUCUUGUGAUCUGCGGUAUUCCAUGGCGUGCAGACAGCGGGGUAUAUGCAACCAUUCUGCUGCUGUUGAGCAUCCACUUUGUUUCAAAGCUUGUACUUAUUUUUUACUCUUGAAAGAUGCUUCAAAUAAAAAAGUUCUAAACAUGAAUCCUUAAAUGCUGCUGCUUUGAUUUCUCUGGAUUAGUGAAUUCAGACUUUCAUGUAUACUUUGCAUAGCAAAUCUAUACUUUCCAUUACUGGGCCAGCGUAUGAAAAGAGAAUCCUGAUGAUAAACGUGUUCCACAUCAGCGCCAGCAGAAUGCUAUUGUGUACAUGUCCGUGGCUGUGACGCUCCUAGCAACCAGAAAUGUCAUCAUCAUGCUUCUAUGGCAAUAGCAAAUGUUUUAGCCUGACAAAGGAAUCUCAUAUUUGGUGCUCAGGGAGAUUUCACCACUGCACAGAAAUGAAAGGAACUACCUCUGUUCUUUUCAUAUUUUUAUAACAUAUUAAUGCAAUGCCAGAAAAGUAAAUUUUAUUGUGAUUUUGGGGGCAUUGAUGGUUUAAGAUAUAUUCUAUGGUGCUUUUGGACCAUUUUUUUCUCUUUUAUUUUUCACUAAAUUGAUUUGUAAUUGUCAGUAACUAUCUAGUCCUACUAGGCUGUGAGAAAAGAAAAAGAGCUAGUAUUUAUGGAGACAUUAAUGGAAAUUGAGAUCCAGAGAAGUUUGAUCAUAUUCUCACCAGUUUGCAGUUAAUAUGUUUAUGUAUAUGUUGGUUUGGUUCAGAACUUUUCUGUAGAGACUAGUUGAAAAUAAAGAAUCUGUUGUCAUCUAUACAGGAAUGUCCAAUAAAAUUGUUUUCUUCUGUGAUGACUGUUUUGAUGGUUUUUAAAAUACCAAAAUCUGCGGCAAACGACAUUCUUCCCUUUUACACAAACAAAAACAUGUUUGCUUCUCCUGCUUUGCCUACAGCUUAGUUGGUAACUGAAUACUCCAGCCCGAGUCUUGUUCUGACCACGUAGGUCACUUGGAUCUUGA
RNAcentral lists this long non-coding RNA (1750 nucleotides) under Chinchilla lanigera (long-tailed chinchilla). Its description in RNAcentral is "lncRNA (ENSCLAG00000029270.1)". Lineage: Eukaryota; Metazoa; Chordata; Mammalia; Rodentia; Chinchillidae. The record is from RNAcentral.